AGCCUCAUACCUGGGUAACAGGGUAGUCAAACCAACCAAAUCUUUUCAUAUGAAAGCAUUCUUAAUACAACAUGCUGGUCAGUACCCAAAUACAGAGCUUCUAUGUAGUUUAUGUACACAAAAGUAUACUUGCUUUACCCCAAAAGAAAGAAGCCCUGAAACCAAAUUAACGUGUCUCUGGCAGCUAUCAGUGAUGAGGAUCUGAAAGAAAAAGUAAAUGAACGGA
Molecule: long non-coding RNA, 226 nt
Filed under: Phoenix dactylifera (date palm)
Lineage: Eukaryota; Viridiplantae; Streptophyta; Magnoliopsida; Arecales; Arecaceae
Description: long non-coding RNA (PDAC_LNC007591)
Source: RNAcentral